GGCUGGCUUUCCCCGGGGUUCAGAAGAUUGUUGAAGGUUCCUGAAUAAACGGCAGAAAGAAGAGCUCGGUGUUGUGUCUUCCUUGCUGGUCAAGAUGCCAGCUGGAGCCUAACCUUUUUCUGGUACCUUGGGCUCCCUUGCUCUUCCUCUGAGCCACGUUUCCCGCUUCAUUGCUCCAUUCUCCUCCUCCAGGAAGUUGCAGAGGGUUUUUCUUUGUAGCCUGACCGCCCUGCAACUCCCUCUGUAGACCAGGCUGGCCCCAAACUCAGAGAGAUCCACUUGCCUCUGCCUCCCAAGUACUGAGAUUAAAGGUGCGUGCCACCAUCACCCAGCUUAAACCUUUUUUCUUUAUAAAUCAACUGUCUCAGUUAUUUUGCUGCAGUAGUGUGAAAUUAAUACAAUGAAUACCCAGAAACACCUGUUCCCAUCACCCUGCAUACCAUGGCUCCACAGUCAUCCCAUCAUAGCUAGACUGUCUCAUUCCUAUCCUUUUCUCCAUUUGAAAAUAUUUGUUCAUUUUCUACGGAUUCUUCCUGCUUAUCCCUAAACACUCAGCACCUAGACUGAAGCUUAGGAAAUGGUGAGAAUUCUGUGAAAUGGAUUAAACAAAUCAUGUCCCUCCCACACACACACACACAACGAAA
Long non-coding RNA from Peromyscus eremicus (cactus mouse), 644 nucleotides. RefSeq lists it as uncharacterized. NCBI's taxonomy places the organism in Eukaryota, Metazoa, Chordata, Mammalia, Rodentia, Cricetidae. The record is from RefSeq and is a predicted model, not a curated record. The transcript has 3 exons.